Molecule: ribosomal RNA, 392 nt
Filed under: uncultured Erwinia sp.
Lineage: Bacteria; Pseudomonadati; Pseudomonadota; Gammaproteobacteria; Enterobacterales; Erwiniaceae
Description: bacterial SSU rRNA
Rfam family: Bacterial small subunit ribosomal RNA
Source: RNAcentral
AGAGUUUGAUCAUGGCUCAGAUUGAACGCUGGCGGCAGGCCUAACACAUGCAAGUCGAACGGUAGCACAGAGAGCUUGCUCUCGGGUGACGAGUGGCGGACGGGUGAGUAAUGUCUGGGAAACUGCCUGAUGGAGGGGGAUAACUACUGGAAACGGUAGCUAAUACCGCAUAACGUCUUCGGACCAAAGUGGGGGACCUUCGGGCCUCACACCAUCGGAUGUGCCCAGAUGGGAUUAGCUAGUAGGUGGGGUAAUGGCUCACCUAGGCGACGAUCCCUAGCUGGUCUGAGAGGAUGACCAGCCACACUGGAACUGAGACACGGUCCAGACUCCUACGGGAGGCAGCAGUGGGGAAUAUUGCACAAUGGGCGCAAGCCUGAUGCAGCCAUGCC